This 468-nucleotide ribosomal RNA is filed under the name uncultured bacterium. RNAcentral's name for it is "partial 16S ribosomal RNA". It matches the Rfam family "Bacterial small subunit ribosomal RNA", at positions 28 to 507 of the family's 1533-position model. The record is from RNAcentral.
GACGAACGCUGGCGGCGUGCUUAACACAUGCAAGUCGAACGGAAAGGCCCUGCUUUUGUGGGGUGCUCGAGUGGCGAACGGGUGCGUAACACGUGAGUAACCUGCUCUUGACUUUGGGAUAACUUCAGGAAACUGGGGCUAAUACCGGAUAGGAGCUCCUGCUGCAUGGUGGGGGUUGGAAAGUUUCGGCGGGUGGGGAUGGACUCGCGGCUUAUCAGCUUGUUGGUGGGGGAGUGGCUUACCCAGGAUUCGACGGGUCGGCGGCCUGAGAGGGUGACCGGCGACAUUGGGACUGCGAGACGGCGCAGUGUGGUACGGGAGGCAGCAGUGGGGAAUAUUGCACAAUGGGCGGAAGCGUGAUGCAGCAGCGCCGCGUUCGGGAUGACGGCCUUCGGGUUGUAAACCGCUUUCGCUUGUUACGAAGCGGGAGUGACGGUAAUGGGUAAAGAAGCACCGGCUAACUACGUG